AGGACGAACGCUGGCGGCGUGCUUAACACAUGCAAGUCGAGCGGAAAGGCCCUUCGGGGUACUCGAGCGGCGAACGGGUGAGUAACACGUGAGUAAUCUGCCCCUAGCUCUGGGAUAGCUCCGGGAAACCGGGAUUAAUACCGGAUAUGACCACUUUAGACAUCUGCUGUGGUGGAAAGAAUUUCGGCUAGGGAUGAGCUCGCGGCCUAUCAGCUUGUUGGUGGGGUAACGCUACCAAGGCGACGACGGGUA
RNAcentral lists this ribosomal RNA (252 nucleotides) under uncultured bacterium. RNAcentral's name for it is "partial small subunit ribosomal RNA". It matches the Rfam family "Bacterial small subunit ribosomal RNA", at positions 26 to 285 of the family's 1533-position model. The record is from RNAcentral.